This 253-nucleotide ribosomal RNA is filed under the name uncultured bacterium. RNAcentral's name for it is "partial 16S ribosomal RNA". It matches the Rfam family "Bacterial small subunit ribosomal RNA", at positions 524 to 776 of the family's 1533-position model. The record is from RNAcentral.
UACGUAGGGGGCAAGCGUUGUCCGGAUUCAUUGGGCGUAAAGAGCGUGUAGGCGGCCAGGUAGGUCGGUUGUGAAAACUGGAGGCUCAACCUUCAGAGGUCGACCGAAACCAUCUGGCUAGAGUCCGGGAGAGGAGAGUGGAAUUCCUGGUGUAGCGGUGAAAUGCGCAGAUAUCAGGAGGAACACCGGUGGCGAAGGCGGAUCUCUGGGCCUGUUCUGACGCUGAGGCGCGAAAGCUAGGGGAGCGAACAGG